This 27-nucleotide non-coding RNA is filed under the name Homo sapiens (human). The record is from RNAcentral. Lineage: Eukaryota; Metazoa; Chordata; Mammalia; Primates; Hominidae.
UGAGAAGAAUGUGAGCCCAGUGAUGGA